Non-coding RNA from Lupinus albus (white lupine), 1394 nucleotides. NCBI's taxonomy places the organism in Eukaryota, Viridiplantae, Streptophyta, Magnoliopsida, Fabales, Fabaceae. The record is from the annotation of a GenBank genome assembly.
GUACAAUUUAAUUUUUCUGGGAAAUUAAUUGCUCAUAAGAUAGGAAGUUGCCGAAAGUUACAAAAAUGUAAACUUAGACAACUAAAGCCCUAUAAAGUAUAACAGUAAUGUUUUCAUGACACUCCUCAUUGACAUCCACACUUUAUAAUUUGCUUUUACUUAUAUUUUUAAUAACAAAAAUAUUAUUUUAUUAUAUAAAAUAUUAAAAAUGUCUUAUCAUGAUUAAAAAUAUUAUUUUAUUAUAUAAAAUAUUAAAAAUGUCUUAUCAUGUCAUUUGUUUUUUUGUAGUAAUUUUCCUUACUCCACUUUAGCCUCCCUAUUUUUUUAAACAUCUUCCCUCUCUAACUUUUUUUUCUUCAAAAUUUUCAUUCUUCCUCUCACGUCAUCUGUCUCCCUCUUCCAAGGGAGCAAAUGACAGCGAUAGUGGGAGGCGAGUUGUUGAUGGACGAAAUUGGUGAAUAACGGUGAUGGUUUCUCUCUCUCUCUUUGAAUGAUGGUGGUGUAUUGCGGUGGUGGUUGGCGACGUUUAAAAUCUGGAUUGUUGAUGAUAAUAGUAAUGACGGUGGCGGGUGAAGGUGUGUGUAAUAGAUAUGAGAUCGUCGGUGCCUUAAUCUUCCUUGCUAUCAAAUAAAAAAUAAUAUCUCAUUUUAAUUUUAUUUUACAAAGUAAUAGAUUAAUAUCCACAUGUCUAUAUUUAAGUGAGUUAGAUAUGGAAUGAGAUACAAAUUGAGGAUAAAAAAUCUCUAUUUAUGUGUAAUAGUCUUGACAACAUUCAACAUUGUUGGUAAAUUCAAGGGAUAAUGUUGGUAACUUUCAUAAUUUGUUGAUAACCGAAAAACAUGUUACUUAGAUAAUAAAUUAUCUUUAUACCAGAAAAUAAACUAUUUUAUUCAACAAUUAAAAUUUAAGAUCGUGACAUUUCUACUAUUUUUCUUCGGUUUUUAGAUAUAUUUUUAUAAAAAUAAUAAAUAUGAUAUAUAUUAUGAUUUUUGUGGCGAGAUGAGAUAAAUUUAUGAUAUGUUUAUGGGUUGUGGUGAGUGGUGGGGAUGAUUAUGAAAGCUGAUAAUGAUUGAGGUUGUUGGUAGCAAAAUGGAUGUUAUUGAUGACAAGGAGUCAAAAUGCAGUUGUGGUGUUGGUAAAUAAGGAGUCUUUGUGAUGUCAAUGAAAGCGGUAAUACAAGGUGGUGAUGGUUUUGUAAGUGUUAAUAAUAAUGGGCUAAUUGGUGGUAACUUUGGGUAAAAGAGUUGCUAACUUUUAGAAUUGGUCAUAACUUAAAAAUAUAACUUCUAAAUAAUAAAUAACAUAAUAAUUUUGUGUUUACCUUCUCAGAAAUAUAAUAUUAAUUUAGUGAAUAAAUAUUAGAGAAUUUACAUUCAAUAUUGCUAAGGGUUUUC